CACAGCACUUCAGACAAGGAGAGAGCAGGAGCCCUGAGAACGAGGAGGUGGAGGAGCUCGAGGGGGAAUUAACUAGGUUCCAAAAUAGCACAGUUGGUUUUGCCUUGCUUCACCCGGCACAGCGUCUGGCUGCUUCUGCUUUCAGUCUGACUCAGACAUGGUGGGGGCAGGAGAGGGUGGCCGGUAUGGACUGAGGCCACUGGACGACCACAAGCAGUGAUCCAGAACCCUCAGCUGAGGGGCUCUUCUUCCCCAACUCCACGCCCUCUCCUGCCCUACCCCAAGAUACAGUUGGCUCCAGGGAAGAGAACCUGAAGGCUCCCUGGCUGAGGGGGCUAUCCCAGCCUAGCCCACCUGGGUGUCUCCAGGGACGUCAGCUGCCUGACGCAGAGCUCAGCCGUGUACCUAGGGCCUCUCUACCCACCAGCCAAGGGAGCCAGAGGACACUAGCCUGAGGUGACAGCACUUUUCAAGUCAGCAUCCCAGUGCUGACCAGCCACCUGCAGCCACCUCCCCGGGGCCACGCGCAGGUAUGAGAAAAACGUGGAAGCCUUUUUGCUCCCAUUUCUACCUCUGGACUCUGAGCUGCUCCAUUUCCCUCCCAGGGGUUGUCACUCCGGCAGCAGGUUCCCCACAUAUGCAAGAAGCUUGAACCCAAACGUGAGGGUGAACCAGAAAACCACCCCCAGCACAAGCCCACCUUAUAGCUCCUGAGCAAACGCUCUCUGCCCCUGGCCAGCUCACCUGGGCCUGGAGCCAGCACGGCCACCUUUCUAUACAGUGGGUAAGGUGGACCUGGGGAGGAGACACUCCUAGUAAGCAGGGAGACUCAGAGGUGAGGUGGGUGGCCAACAGGGGCAGACGUGUGCCUGACACAACCACCAAGACACCCAACUGUGACCGAACGUCAAAAGAGAAGAACUACAAGUGACAGCUAGGAAGAAAAGUAAAGCCCUAAGAAUCCAUAUGCUGCACCUGUCCAGUGGAGAUGUGUGACCCCUGCCCCAGCCCUGCCCCAGCCCUGCCCCAGCCCUGCCCCAGCCCUGCCCCAGCCCUGCCCCAGCCCUGCCCCAGCCCUGCCCCAGCCCUGCCCCAGCCCUGCCCCAGGUAAAUUCUGCCCUUGCCAGCUUCAGGCUGGGGGCUUUCUUACCCAGCAUCUCAUGCAGCCACACUGGCCUCAAACUCACUACAGAGGUGAAGAUGACCUUAUCUUCUGACCUUCUGCCUCCGCAUCCCAAGUACUUGGAUUACAGACUUGAGCCACUAAGCUUGGUUUCGCAUGGGUCUGAAAAUCAAACCCUGAGUUCCAUGUGCACUGGACAAGCACUCCACCGACUGAGUCAUAACCUACCUACCACUCCCUCUUUUUGACUCUCUCUCCCUACCUAGGUAGGCUCCCCACUAGGUAGAGCCCCACAGCAUGAGGUCAGCAGGGCUGGGGUAGGAGUGGAAUCAGAGGUUGGCCCCUCUCAGAGCAGACUCCACAGAUCCUUCACCAGGAAGAAACAGGGGCGACUUUGCAAAACUAACUCCCACACACACCACGUGCCACAAAUUGCGUCUUAUUUAGAAGGGCACACAAAGAGAAGGACACCAGAAGACUUGACUCCCUGCUAUAGUGACUAACUGACUGUCACGGGGUAGCCAUGGGCCUGGAGAAAAGGCAGGGGCAGCAAAAGAAAAGGAAGGAAUAAUGACAGCUGUGACAGCCUUGGGAAGUUGAAGGGGACUCUUAGCAGGGUGUGGUGGCACAGGCCUAAAAUCCCAGAACACCGAAGGUGAGCUCCAGGGCAGCUAGAGCUACAUCGAGAGACCCAGUCUCAACAAACAAAAUAAUAAUCAUGUUUUCCACUUCUGAGGGGGACUGUUGGUUCAGGCUAUGUGCCACCCAGCAGGUCACAAACCUUUGUAGAUGAAAACGUAGCACUCUGGGGGCUCAGUGUUGGGAAUGCAGUAAACACAUAUUCGUACACCAAGGAAGAGAUCCUGCCAGCUUCCUCUUUCAGUUAAUGGGACCUUGUAGAUUCUCUACGUCUGUUGAACGUAGACUGUGCCAUGGAGCCUAGGGGAAGGGGCUGCCUUGGACACAGACCAAAGGGAGUUGUAGAAAGAGGGCUAGGCUGACCACCGGGCUGGGUUUGGUGAACCCAGAAGAAGCUGCUAAGGGUCCAGCCACAUCCUCUGGCCCACAUCUCUGCCACAAGCAGUCCACCUAAGCACUACCAUAUGCAGCCAGAGGUGAUGGCGAUUAGCUUCCUGCCCCAGUGACCCACUAUGGACCCCAGCCAAAACCCUCCCUGGAUAACCUCAAAGCAUGAUCUAAGACCCUCCCCCAUGAGAGAGAGAGAGAGAGACAAUAGCACACCUUUACAAUUUACAUUUUAUCUGAUUCCUGCCCUUCCAGAGCCCUGGACCCUACUUUCCCAGGUAGUCCUCGGGAAACCUUCCAAAUAAACGGUUUAGAGCCACACUCUUUUGUCAGACAGUAGGAAUCUGGACUGACACUGGGCUGCCAGCUCUCAAGUUUAGAAGGGCCAGUUGAGGGGGCUGGAGAGAUGGCUCAGUGGUUAAGAGCACCGACUGCUCUUCCCGAGGUCCUGAGUUCAAAUCCCAGCAACCACAUGGUGGCUCACAACCAUCUGUAAUGAGAUCUGAUGCCCUCUUCUGGUGUCUGAAGACAGCUACAGUGUACAUAUAUAAAUAAAAUAAAUACUCAGCUCCAAAAUAAAUAAAUAAAAUAUUAGAAGGGCCAGUUGCAGGUGAGACGGUGACAGGUGACUUCCUUCCCUGUGGGGACCUGAGUCAGUCACUGGAGAAGACUGCCUGAGCCAGAUGCAGUGGCUAAAUGUGUACGUAGACCUUUCUGACAGGGGCAGAUAAGACUGCCCCUAGAUGCAAGCGUUGCAGAGGUAGAGAAAAGAAACUGGGCUUACUAGAAUAACUGCAGAACACUACAUGUUGGGGUGGUUCCUGGUUCCGACCAGCAGAUGCCAAUGGGAUGGGAAGCCUGGCAUUGCUCUCCACCUGCAGGGAGCUUCCGGGCAGAACUGCAGAGCUCGAACACCAUAGAAAGGUAGCACACCACUCAUUUGAUAACACUGUUGUUGUGUUCAGAGAUCAGGGAGGGAUCAGGUGUUCUUGGGACACCAAGGGAUACCAUUUGAUUCAACAUUACAAGCACGGUAUUUUGCGGCCGGAGAGACAGUUCAGCAGUUAAGAGCAUUGGCUGCUCCUGCAAAGGACCCGGGUCUUGAUCCCUGCACUCACAGGGCAGCUCACAACCAUUUGUAACUCUAGUUCCAGGGGAUCCAAAGCCCUCUUCUGGCCCGAGGGCACCAGGCAUACACAGGGUGCACAGACAUACAUACAUGCAGGCAAACACUCACAUACAUAAAAUACAAAUUCAAGAAUUUUUUAGAAAGUGUUUGUGUUCGGAGGCCGACUGGGCAGAAUCUCAGACCCAUCACUCAUUGGCUGUGAGAGCUUCAUCAAUGCAUCUAGUUUAAUAGAGCUCCUGGUGUACAAAUGAAAUAACCUCCGUCCUGGAGAGUUUCCGUAUGGACCAAGUGUGAAGUUUAUACUCCAGCAUCUGGCAGAUUGAGUGCUCCAUAAACCUUGAGAGGUGAACAGCAUUCAUUCAUGGAUGGAUGCAUGCAUAGGUGCAGGGAUGCAGGGAUAAAUAGGUGGGUGGAUGGAUGGAUGAUGGAUGGAUGAUGGAUGGAUAGAAGGAUGCAUGGGUGCAUGGAUGAAUAGAUAAAUGGAUGGAUGCAUGGAUGCAUGGAUGGAUACAUGAAUGGACACAUGCAUUCAUGUUGGUGGAUGCAUGGAUAGGUGGAUAGAUAUAGGAUGGAUGGAUGGAUGGAUGAUGGAUGGAUGAUGGAUGGAUGAUGGAUGGAUGAACAAGGGGGUAGAUAGGUGAACAUAUGUGUAGAUGAGGAAUGGAUAAGUGGGCUGAUAAAUAAAUGGAUAAAUAGAUGAGUGGAUAGAGUGACAUAAUGUAUAUAUAGAGAGACAAUUAUAAAUGAUAGGUGGAUACACCAGAUGGACAGAUGAACGUAUAUAACAUUUUUUUAGUCUGUUGUGUGGGUGUGUGCAUCACAUUUCACAGCAUGGGAAAGGAGGCCAGAGGACAACUUCCAAGAGUCACUUCUCUCAUUGUGGGUUCUGGGGAUUAGACUCAGGCCGUCAGGUUUGUGCACUGCACAUUGUACACGUAGUCCCCAGCCUUGACCUGGCUGGUAGCUGUGACUGCAUAGUCCUUGCACCCUCUCUAACCCCUGCGUGCAUCCCUUCACCACUCCUGGGGAUGCUUUUAAGGGCUUUCUCAUGUGCUCCUUCAUGGGACCUUCUCAAGAAGACCAGGAUGAGGCAGGAGAGAUGGCUCAGCGGUUAAGAGCACUUGACUGCUCUUCCAGAGGUCCUGAGUUCAGUUCCCAGCAACCACAUGGUGGCUCACAACCAUCUGUAAUGGGAUCUGAUGCCCUCUUCUGGGGUGUCUGAAGUGCACUCAUACACUGCACGAGGAGGAGGAGGAAGAGGAGGAGGAGGAGGAAGAAGAGGAAGAGGAAGAGGAGGAGGAAACGAUGACCAGGAAGUUCCUGUCCAAUUUUUUAAUUUUUCUUUCAUUUCAUGUGUGUGUGUUUGCCUGCAUGCAUGUAUGGAUGGAUGGAUGUAUAUCACAUGCAUGCCCAGAGCCUACAGGGAUCAGAAGAGAGUGCUGGGUCCCCAGAACUGGAAAGACAGAUGGCUGUAAGCCACCAUGUGUAUGUUGGGAAUCAAACCUGGGUCCUAUGCACGAGCAGUAAGUGCUCAGAACAGUUGACCCAAAUCUCUACUCCCCUGCCCAGUUUUCUAGUCAGUGUGUAAGUUUCCAGGUCUGUCCUGGUGUUUCUCUUCCUUGGCACCUCCCAUAAUCCUUCAAGUAGCCGGUACCCAAUGCUACCCUCUGAGCUAUGCCUGCCAUGUUCAUGCACUGGGAGCUUGUUCUACUCACUGCUGUGUUCUGACAGGAAGGCAUGAUGGCAGGGCGUUGGGAAAGGUAUAAACAGAACAGUAAGUCUGAGCAGCAUGAAGGAUGGGAGCCACCCUGGACGUCCCCUUCUACUUCCUAUGAUCUCCAUGUCCCCAUGCACCAGCCCUGGCAUUUCACAGUCUCACAGGCACAAAAGGAUGCCCUGUCACUUUGGUAAGGUACUGAAGGAAGGUGCCAGGCCUCAUGUCCAGGAUGGACAAGAUAGCUAGGAAGGAGGGCUGUGGGAAUCGGGGUACAACUAGGGAGGUGAGAAACAAGGACCCCACACAGGACAUGUAUGGGGACUCUCCCCUUGGCCUUCGGUUUGGGUAUAAGACAGAAGUGGGACCCUUCUUAGCCAGAGCUAAGCUGUUCAUGGCCGUUCCCUUUGCCACAGAGGCCCCUUCAGGCUGGAAACCUGAGGAGGUACAGAGAGUCAGGCCAAACUCUCAGAAUAGAAGCAUCGAGAGGCAGAAUGUCUUGCUUGCCAGUGGAACCUCGGCCUGGGAUGGGGCUCAGAGCCAGUCUGUGAAGCUCAAGAGAGGAUUCUCAGCCCAGUCCUGCCUGGCCACGGCCCAGUUCUAUACUCCUUUUCCCUAUCGGCAGGGCACAUACAAUACAGCUGGGGUGGGGAAACUGAGGCAGGGCCUGCCUUCCAGCGUUGGAGGCUUGCUCUCCCCACCAACCACACCAUCCCUGAUCACUAUUUUCCUCGCUUGACACAGCACAUGGGGGCUCCAGAUCCUCGUGUAUCAGGUUCCCUCAUAGCCCAGGAGAAGUUAUUUACCAGGAAGAAGUUUGCCUUGCUUCCCUAGCUGUGAAGAGCUGGGGUCAUGUGAUUUCAGGAGUCCAGCCUGAAAGUGGGGACCUGCAAUCAAGCAGGUCCCUACUCCUGGCCCCACCCCAGGACUCUCUCCUAAUCACCAGCGCCCCUGCCCCCUCACCAGUUUGAGGGCUCAGGCCCCCCGUGGGAGCUGCUGAAGAGACCAGGGAGCCACUGCUGUUGAUAGCGCGGGUGCCAGGCCCAUGACGCAGGCCUGAGGCCCAGGCACACAAUGGGGCUGUGUGUGCACCCAAUAUUACCCUGGAGCAAAGCUAGGCAGGCCAGCAUCUGGGCUCAGGCCAAGAAUUCAUUUCCCUGAAGAGAGCCUCCCACCCCUCCUGGGUAGCAGGGCUGGAGCAAGGGUUGCAAGGAUGGGCAAGCCAUCGGUCCAGGCAGGAGAAGGCAAACAGGCCACUAGAAACAGGGACUCCUGAGUCUAAUGGUUUGGGACCUCUUACAGGACAGGGACAGUGUAUUCCUGGGAUUGUAAUUUCUCUAGCAGUGAGAGAGGGCAGAGGGACACGAGAGUGGCCUGGCCCCACAUGUAAGACGUUUCUGCUCCCGCCACAGCCUGCCCAGGGGUGAACUCCAUUUGCACGGUGUCUGAGGCACCCAGGACUUCUGGCCAUACGGCCUAUACUGAUAGCCUUAGGGUGCCCCAGGAGAGAUGGUGGCACUCUCCCUGGGGGAAUGAGUCACCAGCCGGCUGUAGCCAGGAUGUUGGGCAGGUCACCGGCAGGUUCAGCUGCCUGCUCCCCUCCCUGAGAGGUCUCAAGGUAGAAAACCACUCAGAAGGUAUCAGGUGUUGACCACAACGUCCCAGACUGGACUUGGACCAGCUGCUUCCUCUGGGGCAGGAAUUGCUGGUGCCUGUGCUCUGGGGUUUGACACCUCCUGUGGCUGCAGGCUGAAGCACCACAGAUAGGGGUAUUAAACAGGUAGAGGCAACCAGCGCCCCCCCCCCCCCCCCCCCCGGAGCAAGCAGAGUUAGAGCAAGGAGUGGAAAUGGGCACAGGGGAAGGGAGGAAGUCAAGCCGGCACUUGCGGCUCUAACGGGGAGGGCCCUUUGCUGAAAUCACUUUCCAUUCUCCUGAGCCGGGGAAGCACCUGGGGACAGGAGCUUCCUGCCCUUGCUUCAUCUGGGGCUCCACAACAGGUUUCAGCGGAUCUCAUACAAACGUGCGGCCCCACAGGCUUCUGCCCACACUCCCCAAAGGUCACACACAAAGGUCACAGUGACGGCCUUAGCCCAUCAGACACAGAGAGAUGACUGCUCAUUUUCUGAUGGUCAAAGGCCUCCACCUCCCUAGUCAAGCAACAAGCAUAGUGACUGGCAUUCCUGUCAGCCUCACACAGUAUCAUGUCUCAGAACACGCUUAAUCCAUGUGUGUGUAUGGAUGUGUACAUGUUUAUAUGUGUGGAUGUGUAUAUAGGUGUGUGUGUGUUUGUGUGUACAGGUGUAUUUGUAUUUGUAUGUGUGUGUGAGUAUGUACAUAGGUGUAUGUAUAUUAGUGUGUGAAUGUCUAUGUAUAUGUGUACACAUGCAUAUGUGCGUGUCAUGUAUAUGUGUGUUUGCAUGUAGAUGCAUGUGUUUGUGUGUACGUGUGUGUAUGUGUGGAUAGGUAUAUGUGUGUUUGUGUGUAUAGGGGUGUGUGUGUGUGUGUGUGUGUGUGCGCGCGCGCAAGAGCAUGUGGAUUUGCACAAUGCCCAUCUUCACCAUGACAGUUUGCUCCUAUGCCCCAAGAACGAGAGUGAGGCCCUUAAUUUACUCUCACAGAUGAAUAAACUGAAGGCUGGGGAAGAGCCUACGUUCAGGGUUAUGAUGGAGUCUGGAAGCCAUGGCUGCGGUGGCAUGAGGCUAGCUCAACAGAACAGAAGACAGGAAAUCAGAAGAAGGACAAAAGGAAAAGGGAGGUGGGAAGAAAGUCACGGUCCAGUCCCAGUUUUCUGGGUCGUCGUGCUGAGGCAGAGGCCUUUUCGCAGCCGAUGUGGUGUGUGGGGCUCUGCCCUGCUGCAGAGGCCUCCGUGCUCAGGAUCAUUCCUCCUGGGAGCGCCAGCCCCGGGACGACUGCUGUCUAUCUUCAAGGUUCCUCAGUGUGGAGAAGCAGCCAUACAGGUUCAAAGCUCUACCCCAGAUCAACUCAGUUGUGCCCUACACUCUGAGGGACACACAGUACCAAGGAGUCUGUGCUGUCUACACCCUCUGGGGUCAUCAACCAGAGCAGGGCAGAAAUCAUCAGAGGAUAAGGACCAUGAGCAAACAACUACUAGAGAACCCCAGGCCAGCCGCAGCGGCAGGACCCCCAAACACAUGGACCCCUUAGGCUAAGGCAAGGGAGGGGAGAAGGGAGGAUCUACUCUACCCUAGACAACCCGGGGGGACCUCCCGCACUCUCAAGACCAUAGCUUUGGGAAGUAUGGAGGUGGGGUGUAUAAAGAUAUCAAGAUAACAGUGUACAUGUAUGAAAACUUCCACAGAACAGUAAUAUAUACUCUAAGAAAUAACUUGAUAUCGAUGCGUUUAUCUUAAAGACCUCGGCUUUCCCUGGCUCCUCAUCUAAUAGCUGGCCAGAGGAAAUGGUAGCAGGUAUUCCAGAGAGCACAGGGCUGGCUGCAGCCCCUGGCUCCAAAUGCCAGCCUGUUCUCCACAACUCCAAAGCACAAGGGAGGGGACACAGGCACCUCCCCGGCAGCCCCCAUCACUUCAGCCCCAUGCACCCCCAUGCCCUGCGGCCAGGUAUUACAAUCUGAUCCAGCAUAUAUGGCAAGGGACAAGGCCAGCCUUGGGUAAUAAGCCCGACUCCAACCCACCUUCAUGUUCUCAACCCCACACGGCUGCUGUGUCAAAGUCACCGCUGCCACUGUGCCUGGUACACACUGAUUCUUCUGAACCCCAUCCCAAGAGUCAUCCGACGACGGAGAGAAAAGCCGAGAAGCCCUCUGUCUCAGCCUCUUCCCGGAGCCCUGAAUCACCCACCCACCCCCAUUAGCUAACGCCUCCUCCUUCAGCUGCCUCAUUUCAUCCUGGCCUGCUCCCCUUUUCUGAGACCCUUGUCUGCAGGGGAUCAAAGGCCAAAUGAACCUCCUGAUGGCUACCUUGGGAAGCCUAUGCUGUGACCUGUGCUUUGUGACCAGUGGCAACGCCCACAUCGCCGCACACUGUCCCCAUGCACAGGACUGGAGCAGGAUGAGAGGGCAAGAGAGGGCAACCCAGGAGCACUAACAAGGCACCUGCUACACAACCAGCUUCAAGUCACGACAGGUGCAUGACUUAAGAGCUCGCCUCAGCUCUCCUCCAGGCCUCAGAAGCAUCCACAGGGGUCGCCCUGCACCACACGUUGGCAACAUUUGAAGCGAAAGCUAAAAAUAGACCCCAUGAUGAGUCACAACUAAGAAUAAAUAGGCAGACAGCCCUCCAGGAGAGGACACUCUGCCGGGGGAGCACCACCUCCUGCCAUCCUCCGGCCCUUCGCUGAGCCCCACAUCGCACACAGACAGCCUUCACAGCGAGCCCUGCUUCAGCACCUGCACAGCCAGGCAAGGCACAGCACAGCUCAUCCUCCAGCGACCCCACAUGAAAGACAGGGAAAACGGCAUGUGAGAGCUGCAGAGAGGCCCACUGCACGGGUAAACUAAGGCACCAAGACACAUCUCUUCCCUGCCCUAACACUGGUUCUCAUCAGGGCAUGGAAAAGAAAGCCAUUGCCCCCAGCUGGUACAUCGGCUCACCUGUGAAAUGGGUAUCCGGAGCCAGCCAGACCAACUCUCUGCAGAGUCAUCAGCAGGCAGAGAGACCAGAGAGGGGCAGGAGCAUACUAGAGGACUGAGGUCACACAGCAGUCAAUCCAGAAAAGUCUCAACC
Molecule: non-coding RNA, 9696 nt
Organism: Rattus norvegicus (Norway rat)
Lineage: Eukaryota; Metazoa; Chordata; Mammalia; Rodentia; Muridae
Source: RefSeq, a predicted model, not a curated record